RNAcentral lists this ribosomal RNA (484 nucleotides) under uncultured bacterium. RNAcentral describes it as "partial 16S ribosomal RNA". It matches the Rfam family "Bacterial small subunit ribosomal RNA", at positions 30 to 507 of the family's 1533-position model. The record is from RNAcentral.
AUUGAACGCUGGCGGCAGGCCUAACACAUGCCAGUCGAGCGGAUGAAGGGAGCUUGCUCCUGGAUUCAGCGGCGGACGGGUGAGUAAUGCCUAGGAAUCUGCCUGGUAGUGGGGGAUAACGUCCGGAAACGGGCGCUAAUACCGCAUACGUCCUGAGGGAGAAAGUGGGGGAUCUUCGGACCUCACGCUAUCAGAUGAGCCUAGGUCGGAUUAGCUAGUUGGUGGGGUAAAGGCCUACCAAGGCGACGAUCCGUAACUGGUCUGAGAGGAUGAUCAGUCACACUGGAACUGAGACACGGUCCAGACUCCUACGGGAGGCAGCAGUGGGGAAUAUUGGACAAUGGGCGAAAGCCUGAUCCAGCCAUGCCGCGUGUGUGAAGAAGGUCUUCGGAUUGCAAAGCACUUUAAGUUGGGAGGAAGGGCAGUAAGUUAAUACCUUGCUGUUUUGACGUUACCAACAGAAUAAGCACCGGCUAACUUCGUG